UAGUUUUGAAAUUCUGAAGAAUGUUUCACUUACAAUGAAAAAGUCCGUUAGGCUUAACUAU
This 61-nucleotide transfer RNA is filed under the name Gondogeneia antarctica. RNAcentral describes it as "tRNA-Val". Lineage: Eukaryota; Metazoa; Arthropoda; Malacostraca; Amphipoda; Pontogeneiidae. The record is from RNAcentral.